RNAcentral lists this non-coding RNA (27 nucleotides) under Rattus norvegicus (Norway rat). Lineage: Eukaryota; Metazoa; Chordata; Mammalia; Rodentia; Muridae. The record is from RNAcentral.
UCUAGAAAUGGACUAUAUAUGGGAAAC